AACGAACGCUGGCGGCAGGCCUAACACAUGCAAGUCGAGCGCCCUUUCGGGGGAGCGGCGGACGGGUGAGUAACGCGUGGGAAUAUGCCCUUCUCUACGGAAUAUCCUCGGGAAACUGAGAGUAAUACCGUAUACGCCCUGUGGGGGAAAGAUUUAUCGGGGAAGGAUUAGCCCGCGUUGGAUUAGGUAGUUGGUGGGGUAAUGGCCUACCAAGCCGACGAUCCAUAGCUGGUUUGAGAGGAUGAUCAGCCACACUGGGACUGAGACACGGCCCAGACUCCUACGGGAGGCAGCAGUGGGGAAUCUUAGACAAUGGGGGCAACCCUGAUCGAGCCAUGCCGCGUGAGUGAUGAAGGCCUUAGGGUUGUAAAGCUCUUUCAGCUGGGAAGAUAAUGACGGUACCAGCAGAAGAAGCCCCGGCUAACUCCGUG
RNAcentral lists this ribosomal RNA (431 nucleotides) under uncultured bacterium. Its description in RNAcentral is "partial 16S ribosomal RNA". It matches the Rfam family "Bacterial small subunit ribosomal RNA", at positions 29 to 507 of the family's 1533-position model. The record is from RNAcentral.